CUUAAACGACUCUCGGCAACGGAUAUCUCGGCUCUUGCAUCGAUGAAGAACGUAGCGAAAUGCGAUACUUGGUGUGAAUUGCAGAAUCCCGUGAACCAUCGAGUCUUUGAACGCAAGUUGCGCCCGAGGCCAUUUAGGUUGAGGGCACGUCUGCCUGGGCGUCACACACAGCGUCGUUCCUAAC
This 184-nucleotide ribosomal RNA is filed under the name Actaea cimicifuga. RNAcentral's name for it is "5.8S ribosomal RNA". The stretch from base 8 to 164 matches the Rfam family "5.8S ribosomal RNA". From Rfam's summary of the family: 5.8S ribosomal RNA (5.8S rRNA) is a component of the large subunit of the eukaryotic ribosome. It is transcribed by RNA polymerase I as part of the 45S precursor that also contains 18S and 28S rRNA. The record is from RNAcentral. Lineage: Eukaryota; Viridiplantae; Streptophyta; Magnoliopsida; Ranunculales; Ranunculaceae.